RNAcentral lists this ribosomal RNA (258 nucleotides) under uncultured bacterium. RNAcentral's name for it is "partial 16S ribosomal RNA". It matches the Rfam family "Bacterial small subunit ribosomal RNA", at positions 96 to 354 of the family's 1533-position model. The record is from RNAcentral.
UGGCGGACGGGUGAGUAACGCGUGGAAAACCUGCCGUAUACUGGGGGAUAACACUUAGAAAUAGGUGCUAAUACCGCAUAAGCGCACAGCUUCGCAUGAAGCGGUGUGAAAAACUCUGGUGGUAUACGAUGGUUCCGCGUCUGAUUAGCUAGUUGGUGGGGUAAUGGCCUACCAAGGCAACGAUCAGUAGCCGGCCUGAGCGGGUGAACGGCCACAUUGGGACUGAGACACGGCCCAAACUCCUACGGGAGGCAGCAG